GAUGAACGCUGGCGGCGUGCCUAAUACAUGCAAGUCGAACGCUUCACUUCGGUGAAGAGUGGCGAACGGGUGAGUAAUACAUAAGUAACCAGGCAUCUACAGGGGGAUAACUGAUGGAAACGUCAGCUAAGACCGCAUAGGUGUAGAGAUCGCAUGAACUCUAUAUGAAAAGUGCUACGGGACUGGUAGAUGAUGGACUUAUGGCGCAUUAGCUUGUUGGUAGGGUAACGGCCUACCAAGGCGACGAUGCGUAGCCGACCUGAGAGGGUGACCGGCCACACUGGGACUGAGACACGGCCCAGACUCCUACGGGAGGCAGCAGUAGGGAAUUUUCGGCAAUGGGGGAAACCCUGACCGAGCAACGCCGCGUGAAGGAAGAAGUAAUUCGUUAUGUAAACUUCUGUCAUAGAGGAAGAACGGUGGAUAUAGGGAAUGAUAUCCAAGUGACGGUACUCUAUAAGAAAGCCACGGCUAACUACGUG
This 482-nucleotide ribosomal RNA is filed under the name uncultured bacterium. RNAcentral describes it as "partial 16S ribosomal RNA". It matches the Rfam family "Bacterial small subunit ribosomal RNA", at positions 28 to 507 of the family's 1533-position model. The record is from RNAcentral.